Molecule: ribosomal RNA, 457 nt
Filed under: uncultured bacterium
Lineage: Bacteria
Description: bacterial SSU rRNA
Rfam family: Bacterial small subunit ribosomal RNA
Source: RNAcentral
AGGCAGCAUGGGGGAAUAUUGCACAAUGGGGGAAACCCUGAUGCAGCCAUGCCGCGUGUGUGAAGAAGGACCUUCGGGUUGUAAAGCACUUUCAGUAGGGAGGAAGGUAGUGUAGUUAACACCUGCAUUAUUUGACGUUACCUACAGAAGAAGCACCGGCUAACUCCGUGCCAGCAGCCGCGGUAAUACGGAGGGUGCGAGCGUUAAUCGGAAUUACUGGGCGUAAAGCGCAUGCAGGCGGCCUGUUAAGUCAGAUGUGAAAGCCCGGGGCUUAACCUCGGAAUUGCAUUUGAAACUGGCAGGCUAGAGUCUUGUAGAGGGGGGUAGGAAUUUCAGGUGUAGCGGUGAAAUGCGUAGAGAUCUGAAGGAAUACCAGUGGCGAAGGCGGCCCCCUGGACAAAGACUGACGCUCAGAUGCGAAAGCGUGGGGAGCAAACAGGAUUAGAUACCCUGGUAG